UACGUAGGGGGCGAGCGUUGUCCGGAUUUAUUGGGCGUAAAGCGCAUGCAGGCGGUCCUGUAAGUUUGGAGUGACAGUUUCCGGCUCAACCGGGAAAGUGCUUUGAAAACUGCAGGACUUGAGGGCUUCAGAGGGACACGGAAUUCCGGGUGGAGUGGUGAAAUGCGUAGAUAUCCGGAGGAACACCGAAGGCGAAGGCAGUGUCCUGGGGAGUACCUGACGCUCAGAUGCGAAAGCCAGGGGAGCGAACGGG
RNAcentral lists this ribosomal RNA (253 nucleotides) under uncultured bacterium. RNAcentral describes it as "partial 16S ribosomal RNA". It matches the Rfam family "Bacterial small subunit ribosomal RNA", at positions 524 to 776 of the family's 1533-position model. The record is from RNAcentral.